GCAGCCGGUCCAUCUGAAAGUCAGAGGCAGAGGAGACAACAAACCCCAGCAGAACUUGGCCGAUGGUGAUGACUUCUGCUCAUGCUGUGGAUUCUGAUCAAGUGCUUGAGAGAAAAUGAAAAGCUCUUCUAGAUCAGCGCCAUCUAGAGACAUACUUCAGACUGCAGCGCUUGAAAGAUGUGAUGUCCAAUCAGCAUGCUACAUUAAUGAGGGGAAAAAUUCAAAGACAAAGACAAGAGAUGAAGCUCUAUGAUUCCAGACCUAGAGAAGGACAUAGAGAACAGAUGCCAGUCUCAGUAAGAGUGGGUGGAGGAGGGGUGAACGCUUUCCAACAGCAGGGCAAACAGAGUUUGGGACAAGACGAAACUGAGCUCAUGUUUCUUGAGGUGGAAAACUGUGACGUUAAGAUGUGGAAGAAUUAUACAUAAAAGUGUUGAUCUGUCACUUUAAAACAAGUCAAAGAUGCUGUUAUUUGAUAACUAUUAGAAACUUCCUGCUUAACCCACAAAUGCAUUGUGUAUCACAUUGUUUUAUUCACUUAAUAUUUACUCAACAAAAUUAUAGUCGUUAAAACGAUCUGUUGCACAUAAUAAGUUAUAGGCUAAGUAAAAAGUGUGUGGUUUUAAUCAUUGUCUCUGAAUGGAUGUUAAAACUGAAGCCUGUCUUCAUUUGUUGCUCAGGACACAUAUUUUGGUAUUUAAAUGCUUUAUAAAAAAAAAUAAUUUGAGAAAAGUUUUGUUGUUACUAUGAAAUCAGAAACUUUUACCGGAAGUUUUGUCGCCAAGAUGACGCUAUUUUAUGAACGCCCAUUGUCCUGAAACGCGUCGAGUCGGAUGCCGUUUCCUCCGCUUUUGACACCUCUGGAGGAGAGAGAUUCCCAUGGGCUUUAAACGCAUAAACAUCUAACUUUCAUCAACACCUAGGCAUGGACUUACAUUACACCGCUUGAGUAUCAUUUCUUUUAUUUAUUUAUUAUUAUUUUAUUUUUUGUUUGUAAUAUAUAUAUAUAUAUAUAUAUAUAUAUAUUACAAUGCAUUUAAAUAAUAAUAAUAAUAAUAAUAAUAAUAAUAAUACUUGAUAAAAUAAAUGUAAUAAUUUUUGUUUGUUUGUUUGUUUA
Long non-coding RNA from Cyprinus carpio (common carp), 1117 nucleotides. The record is from Ensembl. Lineage: Eukaryota; Metazoa; Chordata; Actinopteri; Cypriniformes; Cyprinidae.